CAUCGCCUCCUGCCCACUCAGCAUAGGAGGUCCCGCCUGCCCUGUGACCAAAAGUUUAACGGCCGCGGUAUUUUAACCGUGCAAAGGUAGCGCAAUCAAUUGUCUUUUAAAUGAAGACCUGUAUGAAUGGCAUAACGAGGGUUUAACUGUCUCUUUUUUCAGGUCAAUGAAACUGAUCUGUCCGUGCAGAAGCGGACAUAUUAACACAAGACGAGAAGACCCUAUGGAGCUUUAGACGCCCACCAACCGCGAAAAGCAGCCUACCUAAACAGAUGCUCUAAACAACGCGGUCCUGGUACAAACGUCUUCGGUUGGGGCGACCGCGGAGGAGAACAAAGCCUCCGAGAGGAAUGGGAACAAACCCCAAAACCAAGAGCCACAGCUCUAAGUCACAAAAAAUUUGACCGACAAUGAUCCGGCUUACUGCCGAUCAACGGACCAAGUUACCCUAGGGAUAACAGCGCAAUCCCCUCCCAGAGUCCAUAUCGACGAGGGGGUUUACGACCUCGAUGUUGGAUCAGGACAUCCUAAUGGUGCAGCCGCUAUUAAGGGUUCGUUUGUUCAACGAUUAAAGUCCUACGUG
This 583-nucleotide ribosomal RNA is filed under the name Sardinella aurita (round sardinella). RNAcentral describes it as "partial 16S ribosomal RNA". It matches the Rfam family "Bacterial large subunit ribosomal RNA", at positions 1814 to 2602 of the family's 2925-position model. The record is from RNAcentral. Lineage: Eukaryota; Metazoa; Chordata; Actinopteri; Clupeiformes; Clupeidae.